RNAcentral lists this long non-coding RNA (333 nucleotides) under Elaeis guineensis (African oil palm). RNAcentral describes it as "long non-coding RNA (EGUI_LNC008077)". The record is from RNAcentral. Lineage: Eukaryota; Viridiplantae; Streptophyta; Magnoliopsida; Arecales; Arecaceae.
AUCUCCCUAUCUCACCACCUUUUCUCUAUCCGUCUCUUCCUUUCCUUUUUGUCUUACGUGGCUAAUGGGGGGAUAGGAUGAGAAGAGAGGAGAUAAUUAAUGCCUUUAUCAUUUUUAUAUGAUCACCUCCUCUCCAUGGCUGUCUUCUUAUAUUAUUAUUAUUUUUAUCCUAUUGUGAUAUCUCAUGGGAGAAAGAAACGAGUGGGAAAAAAGCCAUUUAAUGCUCCUCGUCAGAUCCAUAUAACCCAGGGGCAGAUACUCAAGCAUGUGCAUGAUGGAUAGCAUGAUCCAAAGGCCCUCUGCCUCAUGUCUUUGAUCGAUACAGGUAUACCC